Molecule: ribosomal RNA, 497 nt
Filed under: uncultured bacterium
Lineage: Bacteria
Description: partial 16S ribosomal RNA
Rfam family: Bacterial small subunit ribosomal RNA
Source: RNAcentral
GAUGAACGCUGGCGGCGGGCCUAAUACAUGCAAGUCGAGCGAACAGACGAGGAUCUUGCCCCGUUGACGUGAGCGGCGGACGGGUGAGUAACACGUAGGUAACCUACCUAUGAGACUGGGAUAACGUCGGGAAACCGGAUCUAACACCGGACAAUAGGGCGAACCGGAUGGUUCUAUAGUGAAAGAUGGCUUUGCUAUCACUUAUAGAUGGACCUGCGCCGGAUUAGCUAGUUGGUAAGGUAACGGCUUACCAAGGCAACGAUCCGUAGCCGACCUGAGAGGGUGAUCAGCCACACUGGAACUGAGACACGGUCCAGACUCCUACGGGAGGCAGCAGUGGGGAAUCUUCCGCAAUGGGCGAAAGCCUGACGGAGCAACGCCGCGUGAGUGAUGAAGGUCUUCGGAUCGUAAAACUCUGUUAUUAGGGAAGAACAAACGUGUAAGUAACUGUGCACGUCUUGACGGUACCUACUCAGAAAGCCACGGCUAACUACGUG